RNAcentral lists this long non-coding RNA (350 nucleotides) under Homo sapiens (human). RNAcentral describes it as "HSALNT0312866". The record is from RNAcentral. Lineage: Eukaryota; Metazoa; Chordata; Mammalia; Primates; Hominidae.
CCUGGGAGGUCAGUGCAGGGUUCCUCCAUUUUGACAUGAGUAAAUUCUAGAUUAGGUAUUUGGCAGUUAACUCAUCUGGAUAUAUGGGAACAGAAGUGCCAGACACGUAGAUAAUAUUUGGAGAACAGGAGCAGACUUGGAACAUGCUGAAUAGAGGACAAGGAAGUAUCAUCAGACAAACUUAAAGAUGAUCUGACAAUGUCAUUUUCCAAGGGACUGAUAGAAAGAUUGAGUAUCAUGGAAUCAGAACAGACAACAGAGAAUCAGAUUCUGCUACCCCACUCCCAUCUAUGCUGGUCUGCUGAAAAAACAAAACACGCUUGAAAUAGCAUAUAGAAAAUAAAAUUUGC